CACAAAGAUGGGUAAGGCUAGAAUUCUAAAGGUACAGGAUUUUCUUCUAGAAUUGCAUUAUUCUAGAAAGGUUUAGGCAGGAUAAUAACAUCCACAAGACUGCUUUUUUCUCCUUGUCUUCCAACACCUGCAGACAGCACUGGCUAAGAGGAAGCUGUACAACUGCUUGUAAUGCAUUGUCCUGGAUUUCAGAGGAAUUUUUCAUUGUUCGUUGCCAUCAGGUUUUAAACCAUUAGUGUCAGAACCUGUCAACGUUCAUGGAUUUUUUAGCUCUGCUCAAAAUAAUCUGUAGAAUUUUGGAUGAAGCUUAAGGGACAAGACAUGGAGUUCCUCUAUUUAAGACAUACAAGGAUGAAGGAUGGUCUGAAGUGGAAGAUAUCAAAUGCCAUUUAUUUUACAGAGCUUAUUCCUGUUUCAUGUCUUGCCAUCUGGUCUAUGACAGCCUUGAAGUCUGUUAAGUCUACAAGUCUAUGAAAUAGCCUACAGCCCAGAAGUCCAUGAAAAAUGAUCCAUAAAAAAAAAUGUAUGGAACCUUGAGAUUACCAAAACUUUACUUAAUAUGUAGUUAAUUCCUUGUGCUUUUACACACUGGGAAAAUUAAUUUGAGUAAAUUGAAUAUUGCUCAUUUUUCAGGUAAAUUACAUGGUCCAAGGAAUUUUCUCUGAAUAUUAAAAAAAAAAAAUUGUGUUGUUAACAUCAGGGGCAUUUUAGUAUUUUCUUUUACUUUGUCUUUCCAGUAAAGGUAUUUGAAGCACCCAAGUGCCAAAGAAAUGUAAUCAACAUUUCAGGUCCCACAAAGUUUUUGAAUCAAUUUCCUGUCUUUGAAGUCUGACUUCAUAUAGGUGUAAUUGUGCAUGUAUGUGUCUGUGUGCCAGUUAAUGCAGACUAGAGUCAAUAUAUUUCAGUAAUAGAGGUUAUUUGUCCUUCUCUCACCAAUAGCUGUGAAGAAUUUGUAUUUACUUAACUUACUUCAUUAUUGUAGCAAAGGUUUGGCUGUUACAAGAAUGCAUGCAGGCCCUCACUGGAAGAGUGGCAGAAAGGAGGGGGACAGAGGGAGAAGAAUUUGACUAAGGAAAUUUGAAAGCCAAGGGAAAGUUUGGAGGUAAAGAAGAAAGUGGCAAAUAUGUUUAUGAUAAAUUUGCAUAGUCUUAUUUUGUAUGAGAAGCUGAGUACUGACACAUUAAACCUUUUCUUAUAUAUUGCAAUUAAAUUUUGGGACAUUUUCAGUUCUUAUAUUUACAUAAGUAUUUUUUAAAACUAAACUUUUAGUAUUUUGCAGAAAGUGUAUCAGGAACAAUUUCUCCAAUGACUUCUUCAUGCAGAGUUAUUUUACAAUUUAAUUGUUUCCAUGCCUGUGAAUUAAGUAGGCCAAGAUUCUCCCCAGAGGGGAUUUUUAUUGUGAAUCUGACUACCUAAUCCAUUUUAAAUUGGCAGUUUAUAACUGACACUUCAUUAAAUUGCAACUUCAGCAUGCUGCUACAGUUGGUGCUUCAAGUUGGUUAGUUGGAUCCUGAUCCUGUAUCCUUGCUUACACAAGUAAUAUUACAGAGGUAGCAUCACUCAUUGCUUAAGUGAGGUCUCCAGGAAUACAGAAAAAUAUAUUUUGACUAGGUCAAUAAUUGCCUGUAAAUGUUGCUGGUCUUUUAUAUGUGACUGCUUUUGGAUUUAACUGUAUAAUUCUGCACAUAUAUUAGUCCUUCAUUAACAGUCACAAUAAAUUGUGCAGCUGGUGUGAGAUAAUUGCA
Cyanistes caeruleus (blue tit) is the source of this 1745-nucleotide long non-coding RNA. The record is from Ensembl. Lineage: Eukaryota; Metazoa; Chordata; Aves; Passeriformes; Paridae.